This 756-nucleotide ribosomal RNA is filed under the name uncultured archaeon. RNAcentral describes it as "bacterial SSU rRNA". It matches the Rfam family "Archaeal small subunit ribosomal RNA", at positions 150 to 910 of the family's 1478-position model. The record is from RNAcentral.
UACCCGAUAGAACAUUAUGCCUGGAACGGUUAAUGUUUCAAAUAAUUUAUUGCCGUAGGAUGGGACUGCGGCCUAUCAGUUUGUUGGUGAGGUAAUGGCCCACCAAGACUAUUACAGGUACGGGCUCUGAGAGGAGUAGCCCGGAGAUGGGUACUGAGACACGGACCCAGGCCCUAUGGGGCGCAGCAGGCGAGAAAACUUUGCAAUGUGCGAAAGCACGACAAGGUUAAUCCGAGUGGUUUCUGCUAAAGGAACCUUUUGCCAGUUGAAACAGCUUGACGAAUAAGGGGUGGGUAAGACAAGUGCCAGCCGCCGCGGUAAUACUUGCGCCUCGAGUGGUAUCCGUAAUUAGUUGGUCUAAAGCGUCCGUAGCCGGUCUAAUAAGUUCUUGGUGAAAUUCAUUGGAAAACUGGUGAGCUUGCCGAGAAUACUGUUGGACUUGGGAUCGGGAGAGGGUAGAGGUACUGCUGGGGAAGGGGUAAAAUCCUAUAAUCCCAGUGGGACCACCUGUGGCGAAGGCGUCUGCCUAGAACGAGUCCGACGGUGAGGGACGAAACCUAAGGUAGCGAUCGGGAUUAGAUACCCCGGUAGUCUUAGGUGUAAACGAUGCCCACUUGGUGUUACAAACCUUACGAGGGUUUGUAGUGCCGGAGCGUAGGUGUUAAGUGGGCCACCUGGGGAGUACGACCGCAAGGUUGAAACUUAAGGGAAUUGGCGGGGGAGCUCACAAGGAGUGGAGGCUACGGUUCAAUUGGA